Molecule: long non-coding RNA, 5011 nt
Organism: Oncorhynchus tshawytscha (Chinook salmon)
Lineage: Eukaryota; Metazoa; Chordata; Actinopteri; Salmoniformes; Salmonidae
Source: Ensembl
AGACAUUGCAGGUGCGAUAGAAAAGCACAAUAUGUACUGCAGUUGUUUUUAUCAUGAUGAUCCUCAGCUGGGCAACAAAAACAAUAACAACGGUGUUGGGGCGGCCAGUGGCAAUGUUUCCACCUACUGGGGAUUCCAGCUGUAAGGUCCAGUGAAUUUACUUUCUACCAAUCGUGACACAAGACUAUGGUAGCCUGCUAAGCUAAAGCCUAGACAUCAGCUCAGGGAGCUACCACAAGUCCUCAGGUCUCAGACAAGGUAACUCAUCACGCGAGGGUCACAAGCUCAUCAUGUAUGUAUAUUUUGUAAUCAGCUGCUCCUCAUUCUGUGCCACUGGUUUUGCUCAGCACAGCAGUUGAUGUUGAAGCUGUGCCUCAGGCCACAGUACAUGUGUUACUGCCUGUGUGCAAACAGCAAGGCUGAUGUGUCAGGGCAGUCACCCCAUGUCAACUCCAACACAUGGGAGAGAUCACUAUAAAACACUGUUGGAUGAGAGAAGCGUUCAUGUCUGGAAAAUUGCUGCCGCAGCAAGAAGAUUGAUCAGAUCAGAUUGGAGCCAAACAUCGUAUUUCCAUUCACCUACAAUUCAAAUUGACUACCGGCAGUAAGACCAGGGGGCACAGCUGCUGUCAGAAUACCAUUUAUACCAUUUCAAGAUCAAGUGAAAAAUUGGUGGUAAAUAUCCACAGAUGUACUGACGUCUCUGUCAUGAAUAUAAGUGUGAGAGGGACUCUGCGGUCUGGUAGAGUCGGUGGAGCUUGAGGGAGACGACACACGAGUGAGAGGCAGGGAGAUUUACAGGCCCUGCAGGGUAGAGCUGAGCCAACUCUACCUGGAGGAAGCCUCUGGCACUGACAGGCUCCUGGCUGGAGCUCCUGGCUGGGGCUCCUGGCUGGGACUCCUGGAGGCUAACCAAUCACUAGAACACAGAGCAGCCAACAUGGAGAACACUCAGUAUGAUUUAAACAUUUAGCCUGUGAGGGGUAAGAUAAGUCUGAAAACAGUGGUGUGUUGUUGAAUGUGUAAUAUGGAUGUAGGUUGACCUCCGGUAGGUAACACCUCUGGUCUGUUUCUACUUAGGUCUUAGAAGCAGUGGUCUUAUUUGAAACAGAAAUUGUUAUACAAAGUAUUCACUGGGUAAUGUUUCGAAUUCACCACAUCAAUUUAAAUAUUUUUGCAAAACAGGAAAUAUUUUCAGACCUGCUAGAGAACAUUUGUGGGUUUCGCAAUACGAGAAAGUGAUAUUUUCCUCACCAAAGUGUUUCCAGCACAUAUUUAGGUGGAUAUAAAUAAUCUGCUGUUUCUCUGUAUCUUUCCUUACCAGAACACAUAACCCUACUUACCAUCUGAACAGAAGUGCUCAGGGACCACAGGGUUUUUACUGGGAUUGUUUUAUUGUUCACGGUGUGUUUCCUCUAAACCUACCGACUGGGUUCGUCUCAGUGCUGAUGUCAUCUCUGGUUUCUGUUAGGAUAGAAAGCAAUCAUUCAGAUAUUUUUCAAUAAUAUAGGUUCAGUAGUUAAAGAAUUCUGCUGUGGAUCUUCAUUUUUGUAAAGCCGUAGUUUGGAAUCAUGGUAGAAUAGAAGCCAGAUGAACCUCUACUCUUGGCUUCAUCAGUACCAUUGGGUCUACCAUUGACAUGCUCCAUACUGUCCAAGUCCUGCUGUUCUCUGGCUGUGUCCAACACUCCAUUCACUACACCCCUACAACUACCCCUACGUAGGGCCUGCUCCGUGGCUGUGCCUGUGACCUCUUGGCUUUGGAUAUCUCUAUCUCUACUGUUUAGACUUGUAUUCUCAUCAUUUUCACCUCCAUUGACUGUAGUCCCCUGCUCUCCGGGCAUACAGACAGUACCCUGACAGCCCACCAUCACAUCCUCUUCACUGUUGAGAUCAAUGAGCACUCUGCUGGUUCUCUCUCUCCCCACUGUGGGGUCCCUCUGAGUCUCUCUAUCCAGCUCCUCGCUCCCAUUGGUUGGAUCCUGCCUGGUGGUUGUCUGCAUGCUGUCGACAUGGUCUGGGUUUAUGGUUCUCCUUCCUGGAGGUUGUUUGUAUUUUCUCACAUCACUUGGAGGAGAACUGUCAGUCUCGUCGCUGCUACUGUCGUCUGUCACUGUAUUGGGGAUGAAGAGUCGGUUAGAACUGUCAACUGAUUCCAUUUUGAAUUUACUCUUUGUACGAAAAUCUAUGGAUAUGAAUAAGUGCUAUUGGUUUAAAACGUUUUUAUUCUAAGUAUGUUAAUUCUAUGUUUGAUUAAAUACACUGUUGGCCAAGGACUUCAUCUAGUAGAUAAUGACAUAUCUUGAAUCUCAGUAGAGGGUUUGGCGGCUGCUACAACCACAUGAUUUUUUCCGUCUCUGUUGCUGUCCUACAACAAGACAAGCCCAGGUGAUGUCAUGUUCAGUCUCUUACAUAGUGUUAGUUACAUGUCUAUGGGAUGUAAUUAUAAGAGGCUGGAAUUCUGACCCGCAGAAUUAGAAUCCUGUGUUACCUUCUGCAUUUCUGUUUGAGGUAAAAACAGUGACGCUACAUCAAUUAUCUAGCUACCAUUUCUUUACAUUGGUGUAAAACAUGACAUACCAGUUUGUGUAAUCUUUGUAUUAGAUCCCAGAGAGUCAUCAUAAUCCUCUGAAGAAAGAAAGAAAGAAAGAAAGAGAGAGAUAGAGAGAGAGAGAGAAAGAGAUAAGAGAGAAAUAAAAAGAGAGAGAGAGAAUCAGAAUUGGUAUGGCCGUAACAGUCUAUGAAAUCAAUAUUACCAGAUUCAUUUUCCCCUACGGAUAUUUCAGUGACAGAUUAUUUUGAUAUUUAAUAUACCUCUGCUUUCUGCUGAGUUACUUUCAGAUCGUUCUGCAUCUGUGGGACAUUGAAUAAAACAACUCUGAAAAUGAUAUUGAAACUUCCUAUAUAGCAUUAUUUUCAAACCAUAUUCCACACACCUGUAAGAUCAUCGGAGUUGCAUUUCUCUUUGGAUCUGGCAUCUGAGUCUACAACAUCUGAUACAUGAUCAGAUAAUGAUCAAUAACACAAAAAACACAUGAUCAACCACAUAUCAAUAACACUAACUACUUACUAUUGAUAACUUCCCAGCUCAACCUUCCCCACACUAACCUGUUAAACAAGCAGAGUUUUCAGUCUGCGUAACAUUUGAGAUUUCUGGAAGACAAAUGAUUGCGGAGUAAUGAUUCACAUAAUGUAACAUUGAUUUCAUUAUAUUUCACAACAAAGUUUGACCGUUUGAUUAUAAACUAAACGUAAUUUUAAAAAACUACCUGCAGAGUUCUCUGUUGGUCUUAAAGGACUUGGUCUUGCUGUUGAACACAGUAAUAAAUUAGGUCAACAUAGCAAUAACAGAUGCUAGUUAGAAACAUUUCCCUCAAACAUCAACAUCUACUUUCACUAACCAGGGGUUGGAGCUGGUUUACCAAAGGUGUUUUCAGGACCUGGGGAAAGUAGAAAAGAAAGAUGGCAGAUCGAGUUAAUGAUUUUAAAAGUAACAAAAUGAGGAUAGAUAAAUAAAUAUAUAAGUGUGAAGAACAGACCUUUGAUUUUUCCUGAGGUGCUUUGAGUAGCGGGAGCAACAUCAAGGGCACCUGUAACAACAUCUGAGAAUGAGCUACCUAACCAACAGCUUAUUAGACUCUCACCACCUCUGAUCAUUUUUUGAAAAUGUGAUUUCUCCAUCAAGACUAACAACUGUUUGGGUCUCAUCAACACAAGACAAUAAAUAGGUGCAUUAGCAUGUAGCCAACCAUCUCACCAUUCAAAAAGCUUAACACAUCCUCACUUCUGUCUGAAAGGGAAACAGGACUAUUAUUAACUGAUUGAAUCACAAUAACCUCAGUAAUAUCAUGUCAUAUUACUGUAUCAGACCUUUUCACCACAGCAAUAAAAGCAAGUUGUUUUUGGCCAGUGUAUGACACGCUGAACAAUUCACUGGAAAAGCUUACUGGAGCAAAUCGACAUAGGCUGAUAUAUGAUCCUUGUUUAGGUGAUAUAUGAUCCUUGUUUAGGUGAUAUAUGAUCCUUGUUUAGGUGAUAUAUGAUCCUUGUUUAGGGUAAAUGAAGCUUACCUUUCAUUGGUACCAUGAACACAACAGCCACUAGCGUCAGAACUGACAGAGAACACAGGGAGCUACGAGAAAAAUAAAGAGCAUUGGCCUUUUCAGUUGUCCAGUUGACUAGGUAUCCCCCCAUUCCCUUCCCUUUUAUAACGAAGAUAGUUGUUCAGUUGACUAGGUAUCCCCCCAUUCCCUUCCCUUUUAUAAAGAAGAUAGUUGUACAGUUGACUAGGUAUCCCCCCAUUCCCUUCCCUUUUAUAAAGAAGAUAGUUGUACAGUUGACUAGGUAUCCCCCCAUUCCCUUCCCUUUUAUAAAGAAGAUAGUUGUACAGUGUUAAAUCUAAUGCUUUGUAAGACUAAGUCAAGACAACGCACAACAUUUCAAUUAAAUGUUACAUGACCUAAAUGUUACAUUGUUAAAAAGAAUAUAUCAAUCAAAGAGGCCAUGAUGCAAUAAAAAAGUGACUUACAGCUCCAUGAUGGGUGGAAGUCAUCACACGAGUCCUCUAUCUCUUUGUUAAAAGACCCAUCAGAGGUUUUAUACCUGUCCUUAUAGCUGAUUGGCUGGAACCACAGAGACAAUAGACACAGACCCACUUCUAUGAGAUAGAAUGGGGGCUGUGUCAGGUGUCUCUGCAGGAAACAGUGCAUGACCGUGGGAAUGUUUUAAGAUUGAGGAAUCAGAUGAGCAUUUAAACAAAAAGGUUUACAGUUGACAAAUGACUCAUUAUAAUAUCAGUCGACAAACAACCCACCGACUUAGAAGACAAAUACUCCCAAGAUGUGACUGUUCAUUCAAGAGGUGUACAAAACAAAGACCUUCUCUUUCUAGACUAUGUUGAUUAUAGGUGACUGGUUGUGUGGUCAGUGAUGCAAACAAAACGUGCCUCUGGCAUUUCCUUCUCAUUGUUACAGCGAUUUAGAAGAGGGUGGGCCUACACAAUGAGUGGAUUC